This 254-nucleotide ribosomal RNA is filed under the name uncultured bacterium. RNAcentral's name for it is "partial 16S ribosomal RNA". It matches the Rfam family "Bacterial small subunit ribosomal RNA", at positions 524 to 776 of the family's 1533-position model. The record is from RNAcentral.
UACAGAGGUGGCAAGCGUUGUUCGGAAUUACUGGGCGUAAAGGGCGCGUAGGCGGCCUUCUAAGUCAGACGUGAAAUCCCCCCGGCUUAACCUGGGAACUGCGUCUGAUACUGGGAGGCUUGAGUAUGGGAGAGGGAUGUAGAAUUCCAGGUGUAGCGGUGAAAUGCGUAGAUAUCUGGAGGAAUACCGGUGGCGAAGGCGGCAUCCUGGACCGGCAUUGACGCUGAUGAGCGAAAGCUAGGGGAGCAAACGGG